AUUGAACGCUGGCGGCAGGCCUAACACAUGCAAGUCGAGCGAGCGGCGGACGGGUGAGUAAGGUAUGGGGAUCUGCCCGAUAGAGGGGGAUAACUACUGGAAACGGUGGCUAAUACCGAAUACUAUCGGAUGAACCCCUAUGGGAGUAGCUAGUAGGGGGGGUAAAGGCUCACCUAGGCGACGAUCUCUAGCUGGUCUGAGAGGAUGACCAGCCACACUGGGACUGAGACACGGCCACGACUCCUACGGGAGGAAGCGGUGGGGAAUAUUGCACAAUGGGCGCAAGCCUGAGGCAGCCAUGCCGCGUGUAUGAAGAAGGCCGUAUGGUUGUAAAGUACUUUCAGCGGGGAGGCGUUACCCGCAGAAGAAGCACCGGCUAACUCCGUGCCAGCAGCCGCGGUAAUAC
RNAcentral lists this ribosomal RNA (406 nucleotides) under uncultured bacterium. RNAcentral describes it as "partial 16S ribosomal RNA". It matches the Rfam family "Bacterial small subunit ribosomal RNA", at positions 29 to 526 of the family's 1533-position model. The record is from RNAcentral.